GACGAACGCUGGCGGCGUGCCUAAUACAUGCAAGUAGAACGCACAGUUUAUACCGUAGCUUGCUACACCAUAGACUGUGAGUUGCGAACGGGUGAGUAACGCGUAGGUAACCUGCCUGGUAGCGGGGGGUAACUAUUGGAAACGAUAGCUAAUACCGCAUAAUAUUGAUUAUUGCAUGAUAAUUGAUUGAAAGAUGCUAUUGCAUCACUACCAGAUGGACCUGCGUUGUAUUAGCUAGUAGGUGAGGUAACGGCUCACCUAGGCGACGAUACAUAGCCGACCUGAGAGGGUGCUCGGCCACACUGGGACUGAGACACGGCCCAGACUCCUACGGGAGGCAGCAGUAGGGAAUCUUCGGCAAUGGACGAAAGUCUGACCGAGCAACGCCGCGUGAGUGAAGAAGGUUUUCGGAUCGUAAAGCUCUGUUGUAAGAGAAGAACGGGUGUGAGAGUGGAAAGUUCACACUGUGACGGUAUCUUACCAGAAAGGGACGGCUAACUACAUG
Molecule: ribosomal RNA, 505 nt
Filed under: uncultured bacterium
Lineage: Bacteria
Description: partial 16S ribosomal RNA
Rfam family: Bacterial small subunit ribosomal RNA
Source: RNAcentral